This 3144-nucleotide long non-coding RNA is filed under the name Salmo salar (Atlantic salmon). RNAcentral describes it as "lncRNA (ENSSSAG00000108978.1)". The record is from RNAcentral. Lineage: Eukaryota; Metazoa; Chordata; Actinopteri; Salmoniformes; Salmonidae.
UAUAGACUGAUCAUUUCUUUGUAAGUGGGCAAACGUACAAAUUCAGCAGGGGAUCAAAUACUUUUCCCCCCCACUAAGCCUGAAGGAUAGCAGCUUUAAUAGCGUCAUAAUCUGAACUCUGGUCAAAACAUAAAGCGGUGUACACUUUCUGAGCUUUUCCCACAGGAACACUUGAGGAUCAGUGACCAAAUAUCUCACGGCCAUUUUAUGGAUGUGGCAAUCUGCUCAAACAAAGAAAAAUAUACAUCCACCUUUUCGCUGAAAGGCGGUACAAGCCGGCUGUUCCGACCAAGAUCAAACUCUGUUGAGGGUGCAGGAUGGCCUGACUGGAUUCGGAGCUCUUCCAAAUCUAUCUUUCUUAAUUGAAUGGCAUGCACAUGUUCUUCUUGUUCUAGUCUUUCCCUGUGCUCAAGCUCUAAUUUCUGUUACUCCAACUAUGUCUUUAGUUCUAAUUCUCGCAGUUGCACAUCUACGGGACUCACCCUACUACCCGUAGGACACUUUUCAUCAACCUCCCUCUGGAAGGAUUUCCUGCUCCACCAAAGCAGUACCGAUAAACUCUGACUACUGCUUUUGGAUUGCCGGAUGCCACCUUGCUGUCAUAAUGCUUUGUAAUGACGAGCAGAUUUGCCUUUGUACAUUUAUCUCGCAUCUCCCAUGUAGGGUUUUCCAAAAAUGCUUCCAACUUAAAUUCCAUGGCUUUAAUUUUAUAAGCCUGUGUGUUCAUGCAACUUUAUUGUCAGGUGGAUGUCAUUGACAAAACUCUACCACAAAAGUGUAUUUUGAACACUCAAAUAUCUGGGCACAGCAGAGCUUCAGAGUAGGUGACUAAAGCGACUACCAUACUCAUAGGAAACAAGAUCCCGGAUGAGCCCCCUUUGUGUUACUUUCCCCAGCAAGAAAAACAACAAACUUAAAGAGGACACAAACCAAAAAAGUAGAGCAAAACAAAAAAACAGGUAAGAUCAGAUACAGUAUUGUUUGUCGAGAACUCAACUAAGGAGCCCAAAUUAGAGGUGUUAAACCUUCACGUCUUUCAAGACCACUGGAGCACUGGGUCAGCCACUCUUAUAUAGCACCUGGACCAGCACAGGUGAAACACCUUCCCACUAACAAGAUGGCAACCAGCACAGGUGCAACACAUACUGACUAAUGAGGUGACACCAAUCAGCGCGCCCUACGUGCUUAAGUCCAACCUCAAAACAUACAUGGAAAAAACAAAGCCUGUAACAAUACCAGACGACUACGAGUACUGUUCACCACUGUUGUGUAAAAUUCUAGAGGCUACAAUCAUUCGCAUUGAGUGUUAACAUGUUACAUGAGAGCCAUCCUCCCAUUGCUAGGGCAACAGAGAAGCAAUGUGACAUGUUCAUAUUUUUUACAACACAUUCAAAAUUAUAAAACAAACCAUACAACUGUAUAGCAUAACAAAAUUGUAUAAGGCAUGAUCAGAGCCAUGAUUAUCUUUUUAAUCUGCUAUUGUGGUUUGUGUAAUUGUAGAAAAAUAUAUGCUUGUCAUCUUAAACAAUUUACUCAUUGUAAUUUGCGAAAACAAAAUGCAGUUUGUCAAACAAACAGGCACAAAAUACACUCUUAACAGCUCAGUAAACAUGAAUAGGAUCUUGUUUAAUAUCAAAAUAGAGUAAACACACCUCAAAAAUAUAUAUUUUGUGCGUUUUUAAAUUAUACUCAACCCGGGUUGGUGAUAUUCUCUAUGAUAUUUUUUGGGGGUAUCUUCAUCAAAUAUUGAUCAUGCAACAACAACAAAAAUGUUGAUACAGGGCACAAGGCCAGUGGUAAAGUUAUCUACACUUAGUCACUAUACCAAAUUGAUCUUAUUAGCUGGUUAGCUGACAACGUCACAAAUUACGCACGCGUGUCGAUGGGGCAGAAGUCUGUGUUGUUAUGAUUUUGGAUGGUCAGAUAGCUAGCAACAAUGACAAGAAGCUCGUUUUAGAUCAUUGUGUAUUGAUACCAUGUCUUGUUUUGAGGUGUUUUACUCUUGUCACUUCUAUGCUAAUAUGGCUAAAAUUACAAACGUAACAAUGUAUUUGAGAGACAACAAGUGCUCAUUGUGCAAAUGUAUUUAUGUUUUCAAUAAAGAUUUGGAGAGGACAUAUAGUUUACAUGUUGUCAACAAUCCUUUGAUUCUAAGUAAACCUGAAUGUUUUGCUCCACAGUUGCGCAUGCAUUGGUUUUGUUGCUAAACAACCCACCCGUCUAUAUAUUUUUGUGACCCCUCAAAAGACACCCCAUUGUAAAUUCAGUCGUAGAGUCCAAUGCCACUUCCAAUGUCAUUGGAUCUUUUAAUGACAAAAGGCACUCCAAAAGGCACUCCAAUUGUCAUUGUUGCAAACAAACAUGACAUUUGACAAAAGCCCAGACUGUGGCAGAGCAAUUCAAAUAGAAAACUCCUACCAGAACCCUUAAAACUUCAAUGAUACCAUGUCCAUUCAAGUGUAAUAAAGCAGAUGAAUAAUGACAGAACCCUGGACUUUCCUUACUAACAGAUGUCAUGGCCACUGGUGGAAAAAGUACACAAUUGCCAUACUUGAGUAAAAGUACAGAUACCCUAAUAGAAAAUGACUCAAGUAAAAGUGAAAGUCACCCAGUAAAAUCCUACUUGAGUAAACAUCUAAAAGUAUUUGGGUUUAAAUAUACUUAAGUAUCAAAAGUAAGUGUAACUGUUAAAAUAUACUUAAGUAUCAAAGUUUAAAGUAAAAGUAUAAAAAAUUUAAAAUUCCUUAUAUUAAGCAAACCAGAUGGCACCAAUUUCUUUUUUUUUUUAUUUAAGGAUAUCCAGGGGCACGCAUCAACACAUAAUUUGCAAAUGAAGCAUGUGUUUAGUGAGUCUGCCAGAUCAGAGGCAGUAAGGAUGACCAGGGAUGUUCUCUUGAUAAGUGUGUGAACUAGACCAUUUUCCUGUCCUGCUAUGUACUUUAUUCAAAAUGUAACGAGAACUUGUGGGUGUCAGGGAAAAUGUAUGGAGUUAAAAGUACAUAAUUUUCUUUAGGAAUGUAGUGAAGUAAAAGUAAAAGUUGUCAAAGUAAAGCAAAGCACAGAUACCCCAAAAAACAACAUAAUUAUUUUUACUUAAAACCUGUUGGGGAUAGGGGGCAGUAUUUGCACGGCCGGAUAAAAAAC